Molecule: ribosomal RNA, 253 nt
Filed under: uncultured bacterium
Lineage: Bacteria
Description: partial 16S ribosomal RNA
Rfam family: Bacterial small subunit ribosomal RNA
Source: RNAcentral
UACGUAGGGCGCAAGCGUUGUCCGGAAUUAUUGGGCGUAAAGGGCUCGUAGGCGGCCAACUAAGUCAGACGUGAAAUCCCUCGGCUUAACCGGGGAACUGCAUCUGAUACUGGAUGGCUUGAGUUCGGGAGAGGGAUGCGGAAUUCCAGGUGUAGCGGUGAAAUGCGUAGAUAUCUGGAGGAACACCGGUGGCGAAGGCGGCAUCCUGGACCGACACUGACGCUGAGGAGCGAAAGCCAGGGGAGCAAACGGG